GCCAGGUGUGGUAGUGCACAACUGUAAUCUCAGUGGCUUGGAGGCUGAGCCAGGAGGAUCCUAAGUUCAAAGCCAGCCUUAGCAAAAAGCAAGGCUCUAAGAAACUCAGAGAGACCCUGUCUCUA
Molecule: small RNA, 125 nt
Filed under: Marmota monax (woodchuck)
Lineage: Eukaryota; Metazoa; Chordata; Mammalia; Rodentia; Sciuridae
Source: RNAcentral